RNAcentral lists this small nuclear RNA (100 nucleotides) under Ochotona princeps (American pika). Lineage: Eukaryota; Metazoa; Chordata; Mammalia; Lagomorpha; Ochotonidae. The record is from RNAcentral.
GUGCUCACUUUGGCAGCACAUUUACUAAAAUUAGAAUGACACAGAGAUCAGCAUGGCCCCUGUGCAAAGAUGACACACAAAUUCAUAAAAUGUUAUUUUU